GGUCUUUUGUUUAUAUAAAAGAUUUGACCUGCCCAAUGAUUGUUUUAAUGGCUGCAGUAUUUUGACUGUACAAAGGUAGCAUAAUCAUUUGUCUCUUAAUUGGAGUCUGGUAUGAAUGGUUGGAUGAGAUUUAUACUUUCUUUACUUUAUUUUUAAAAUUUAAUUUUUUGAUCAAAAAGUCAAGAUUUUUCUAUAGGACGAGAAGACCCUAUAGAACUUUAUUUCUUGUUUUUAUGAUCUUUUCUUGUUUAUGAAUAGGUUGUUAGAAUAAUAAGUUUUGUUGGGGUGACGGAAAAAAUAUUAUAACUUUUUUUAUUUAUUUCAUUUGUUUAUGAGUUUUUGAUCCUUUAUUAUGGAUAAAAAGAUUAAGUUACCUUAGGGAUAACAGCGUUAUUAUUUUGGAGAGUUCAUAUCGAUGAAAUAGUUUGCGACCUCGAUGUUGGAUUAAAAUUGGGUUCAGGAGUAGAAUAUUGAUGCCUAGGUCUGUUCGACCUUUAAAUUUUUACA
Molecule: ribosomal RNA, 507 nt
Filed under: Compositocoris senecionus
Lineage: Eukaryota; Metazoa; Arthropoda; Insecta; Hemiptera; Miridae
Description: partial 16S ribosomal RNA
Rfam family: Bacterial large subunit ribosomal RNA
Source: RNAcentral